Long non-coding RNA from Amphimedon queenslandica, 332 nucleotides. RefSeq lists it as uncharacterized. NCBI's taxonomy places the organism in Eukaryota, Metazoa, Porifera, Demospongiae, Haplosclerida, Niphatidae. The record is from RefSeq and is a predicted model, not a curated record. The transcript is spliced from 2 exons.
CCUGAAAUACGGAUCCACGCGGAUCAAAUGCGGAUCGGGCUGAAAUGCGGAUCAACGCGGAACGCUCGCGGAUCUCUAUUGAAACUUGACUGAUCUGUCUGAAAGAAUGAUAUCUAUGCAUCAGGAGGGAAUUUUUAUUAGCUCUAUUUAAGUUUUUGAUAAGAACUUCAUCAUUUUAGCAGUUUCAGAACAGUAUCUACUUGAGCUGACCAUAACUUCAAGAUUUAUGUGUGAAUGUGAUUCAGAACAAUAACAUCUUAUAAUGGAUCCUUUAAGAAAUAAUUAUAAUAAAUUCAUAAGUUUUUAAUGACACAGUGAUAUUAUAGCUUUAA